UAGUGGAAGAAAGGCCUGAAUUCAUUGCU
This 29-nucleotide non-coding RNA is filed under the name Mus musculus (house mouse). Lineage: Eukaryota; Metazoa; Chordata; Mammalia; Rodentia; Muridae. The record is from RNAcentral.